UCCUACGGGGCGCAGCAGUGGGGAAUAUUGGACAAUGGGGGAAACCCUGAUCCAGCGACGCCGCGUGAGUGAAGAAGUAUUUCGGUAUGUAAAGCUCUAUCAGCAGGGAAGAAAAUGACGGUACCUGACUAAGAAGCCCCGGCUAACUCCGUGCCAGCAGCCGCGGUAAUACGGAGGAUGCGAGCGUUAUCCGGAUUUAUUGGGUUUAAAGGGUGCGUAGGCGGAAUGCCAAGUCAGCGGUAAAAUCGCGGGGCUCAACCUCGCUCCGCCGUGGAAACUGGCGUCCUUGAGUGGGCGAGAAGUAU
RNAcentral lists this ribosomal RNA (305 nucleotides) under uncultured bacterium. Its description in RNAcentral is "bacterial SSU rRNA". It matches the Rfam family "Bacterial small subunit ribosomal RNA", at positions 337 to 660 of the family's 1533-position model. The record is from RNAcentral.